UUGAGUAUUGCGUCAUCCCAGCGCAGCCACGCAUUACUUUCCGCCCCCCGCACAGUCGUCGGUAGCGCCGCAUCGCCGGCACACGCCGUUUUCGAGUAGUGACCCGUGAUUUGUUUUCAUAUCAUCACGAUGAGGAUCUAUAAACGAACGACUGAACGAUGAAGAAAUAAGACCCUUUCCUAAAGCGGCGCCACGUUUAGAUAAUAGUAGAAAUACUCGGAAACGUAAAAGUACUAUACUAUACAGGGUGUCACAGAAUGGGUGAAUCAAACUUCUAGGGGAAGUAGCUCUACUAAUGUACUAUCCCAAAAAAAUAUGAAAAAAAAAAAAUUUGAGUUCGGAUUUUUUUAAAGUAAAGUGCUCUAAACUCGAAAUCUAGUCAUUAUUUUCAAAAGUUUGUUUACAGAUAAACGAAGCGAUCAUGUACAAUUAAUAUUAGUAAGAAAAAAGUACAAAUAAACUCCAAACGCAGCAAUUAUAGCCAGAUACUUAGGCAAAGCUGAUUUAUUUUCACUUUAAAAAAAAUUGUGUCCUUAUGCGCUU
Molecule: long non-coding RNA, 543 nt
Organism: Ostrinia nubilalis (European corn borer)
Lineage: Eukaryota; Metazoa; Arthropoda; Insecta; Lepidoptera; Crambidae
Exons: 2
Source: RefSeq, a predicted model, not a curated record